UCCCUUGUAGCUCAGUUGGUAGAGCAGAUGACUGUUAAUCAUCAGGUCUCUGGUUCGAAUCCAGACGGGGGAGCCA
This 76-nucleotide transfer RNA is filed under the name Pseudomonas silesiensis. RNAcentral's name for it is "tRNA-Asn". It matches the Rfam family "tRNA". Rfam says of the family: Transfer RNA (tRNA) molecules are approximately 80 nucleotides in length. Their secondary structure includes four short double-helical elements and three loops (D, anti-codon, and T loops). Further hydrogen bonds mediate the characteristic L-shaped molecular structure. tRNAs have two regions of fundamental functional importance: the anti-codon, which is responsible for specific mRNA codon recognition, and the 3' end, to which the tRNAs corresponding amino acid is attached (by aminoacyl-tRNA synthetases). tRNAs cope with the degeneracy of the genetic code in two manners: having more than one tRNA (with a specific anti-codon) for a particular amino acid; and 'wobble' base-pairing, i.e. permitting non-standard base-pairing at the 3rd anti-codon position. The record is from RNAcentral. RNAcentral also lists the same sequence under 1 other name. Lineage: Bacteria; Pseudomonadati; Pseudomonadota; Gammaproteobacteria; Pseudomonadales; Pseudomonadaceae.